Molecule: long non-coding RNA, 331 nt
Filed under: Solanum tuberosum (potato)
Lineage: Eukaryota; Viridiplantae; Streptophyta; Magnoliopsida; Solanales; Solanaceae
Description: long non-coding RNA (STUB_LNC010528)
Source: RNAcentral
CUUUUGGUAUGUUGCCAACAAGAUUGUUUCCAGUAAGGUUUAGCACAACUACUAGACUGGUACACAUUCAAGAUCUGCAGGUAUGUUUCCUUCUUGUCUAUUGUUCUGCAUGUAUAAAGUUGUCAGCAUUGUCAAGUUACUAAAACAGGACGUACGUGAUCUUCCCUGAAAACUUAUUUCCAUCUAACUGCAGUCCUUGUAGGCGUUGUAGCUUGCUUAUAGACUCGUUAACGUUACCCUUGAAGUUGUUAUUAUCGAGUGAUAAUCUUGUCAAAUUUUCAAGGUUCCCCAGUCCAGCAAGAACAGUGCCAUGUAUCAGAUUAAAACCUAG